RNAcentral lists this ribosomal RNA (1345 nucleotides) under uncultured bacterium. RNAcentral describes it as "bacterial SSU rRNA". It matches the Rfam family "Bacterial small subunit ribosomal RNA", at positions 39 to 1379 of the family's 1533-position model. The record is from RNAcentral.
GCUACAGGCUUAACACAUGCAAGUCGAGGGGCACCUUGGUCUUAGCUUGCUAAGGCCGAUGGCGACCGGCGCACGGGUGAGUAACACGUAUCCAACCUGCCGUCUACUCUUGGACAGCCUUCUGAAAGGAAGAUUAAUACAAGAUGGCAUCAUGAGUCCGCAUGUUCACAUGAUUAAAGGUAUUCCGGUAGACGAUGGGGAUGCGUUCCAUUAGAUAGUAGGCGGGGUAACGGCCCACCUAGUCUUCGAUGGAUAGGGGUUCUGAGAGGAAGGUCCCCCACAUUGGAACUGAGACACGGUCCAAACUCCUACGGGAGGCAGCAGUGAGGAAUAUUGGUCAAUGGGCGAGAGCCUGAACCAGCCAAGUAGCGUGAAGGAUGACUGCCCUAUGGGUUGUAAACUUCUUUUAUAAAGGAAUAAAGUCGGGUAUGCAUACCCGUUUGCAUGUACUUUAUGAAUAAGGAUCGGCUAACUCCGUGCCAGCAGCCGCGGUAAUACGGAGGAUCCGAGCGUUAUCCGGAUUUAUUGGGUUUAAAGGGAGCGUAGAUGGAUGUUUAAGUCAGUUGUGAAAGUUUGCGGCUCAACCGUAAAAUUGCAGUUGAUACUGGAUAUCUUGAGUGCAGUUGAGGCAGGCGGAAUUCGUGGUGUAGCGGUGAAAUGCUUAGAUAUCACGAAGAACUCCGAUUGCGAAGGCAGCCUGCUAAGCUGCAACUGACAUUGAGGCUCGAAAGUGUGGGUAUCAAACAGGAUUAGAUACCCUGGUAGUCCACACGGUAAACGAUGAAUACUCGCUGUUUGCGAUAUACUGCAAGCGGCCAAGCGAAAGCGUUAAGUAUUCCACCUGGGGAGUACGCCGGCAACGGUGAAACUCAAAGGAAUUGACGGGGGCCCGCACAAGCGGAGGAACAUGUGGUUUAAUUCGAUGAUACGCGAGGAACCUUACCCGGGCUUAAAUUGCAGAUGAAUUACGGUGAAAGCCGUAAGCCGCAAGGCAUCUGUGAAGGUGCUGCAUGGUUGUCGUCAGCUCGUGCCGUGAGGUGUCGGCUUAAGUGCCAUAACGAGCGCAACCCUUGUUGUCAGUUACUAACAGGUUCCGCUGAGGACUCUGACAAGACUGCCAUCGUAAGAUGUGAGGAAGGUGGGGAUGACGUCAAAUCAGCACGGCCCUUACGUCCGGGGCUACACACGUGUUACAAUGGGGGGUACAGAGGGCCGCUACCACGCGAGUGGAUGCCAAUAACCAAAACCUCUCUCAGUUCGGACUGGAGUCUGCAACCCGACUCCACGAAGCUGGAUUCGCUAGUAACCGCGAAGCAGCCACGGCGCGGUGAAUACGUUCCCGGGC